GGGAAAAAAAGCUGUAAAAGGUUUCUGGGCUCCUAAAUUUCACAUGAUAGAGCAUGUUAACAUAAAAUCAUACAAUUAUUAAGGUUGGAAAAGACCUGUACGAUCACGGAGUCCAACAUGUGACCAUCCAGACUUUUGUCUGAAAUCGACACCAACUCAUUCCUCAUCCCAGCCCAGGCCUCCAGCAGCUUGUGAAAUUUGUGGCCCAAACUCCUCCUGGCAUAGAGUAGGGGUGGUGCCAAUUCUUUCUUCAAAUGGAUUGACGACCAGCUUUCCAAAAGGAAGAGCAGCACCUGACAGCAGCUUCUGAGGUCUGGACUGAGCAUGGCAGCUGGAAGGACCCUGAAAGCAGUAAAGGUGCCACCAACUUUGGUGAAUGUCAGUAUCCUCUUUGAAGGUCACCAGGACCAUUUGGGAAUUCUGGACAAUUAGCACACCAAGCAACAUUUACUAUGUACAGCUGCAAAAUGUAAGUCUCAGAAUUCCUGUGUUAUCACUGGAAAUGAAGCUAUUUAUAGAGAGAUGUCCUGGUGGAUACAAACAUUUCUGAGAAAUAGCAGAAAGAAGAUAAGGUAUUAACACUCUUGCAACUAAUCACAUUGAUAGGUUCAUGGGGUAUGCUUUCAUGAUCUGUGCUCAUGGAAAGAUAGGAUGAACUGGCAUGUCUGAGUGCCUUCCUGCCAGAGGGAUAUCAUACCAGUUAGUUUGAAACCCUUACAUUAAAAAGUAUAGUUACUUCAACGAUCCCAUUUUAUUCCUAGCAUGGGUUAAAACAUUUAAAGCUACACUUAACUGUGGCAAAUAUCGUGUGUAAUGCAGGCCAUGAUCUCUGUGCAAACUAAUGCAGGUCAGUUCGAAAGCAAUGUUAUUAAAAAAGCUCUGAAAAACAAAAAUCCAACCUAUGCAGAAGGUCACUUUAGGAAUCAUAUUCAUAAGCAGCACUGCAGUGAACUCAGGUACCUGGAUGAGACAUAGCAGUGUUUCAAAGUUAGCAAAUAAAAAAUAAUUAUUUGGGAGAAAA
This is a long non-coding RNA of Neopelma chrysocephalum (saffron-crested tyrant-manakin), 1021 nucleotides long. RefSeq lists it as uncharacterized. The transcript has 2 exons. The record is from RefSeq and is a predicted model, not a curated record. NCBI's taxonomy places the organism in Eukaryota, Metazoa, Chordata, Aves, Passeriformes, Pipridae.